Molecule: ribosomal RNA, 520 nt
Filed under: uncultured Glomeraceae
Lineage: Eukaryota; Fungi; Glomeromycota; Glomeromycetes; Glomerales; Glomeraceae
Description: SSU rRNA
Rfam family: Eukaryotic small subunit ribosomal RNA
Source: RNAcentral
AGCAGCCGCGGUAAUUCCAGCUCCAAUAGCGUAUAUUAAAGUUGUUGCAGUUAAAAAGCUCGUAGUUGAAUUUCGGGACUAAUAUGUCGGUCGUGCCUCGGUACGAACUGGUUUAUUGGUUUCUCCUUUCUGAAGAACCAUGAUGUCAUUUAUUUGGUGUCGUGGGGAAUCAGGACUGUUACUUUGAAAAAAUUAGAGUGUUUAAAGCAGGCUCACGCUUGAAUACAUUAGCAUGGAAUAAUGAAAUAGGACGUUUGAUUCUAUUUUGUUGGUUUCUAGGAUCGACGUAAUGAUUAAUAGGGAUAGUUGGGGGCAUUAGUAUUCAAUUGUCAGAGGUGAAAUUCUUGGAUUUAUUGAAGACUAACUACUGCGAAAGCAUUUGCCAAGGAUGUUUUCAUUAAUCAAGAACGAAAGUUAGGGGAUCGAAGACGAUCAGAUACCGUCGUAGUCUUAACCAUAAACUAUGCCGACUAGGGAUCGGAUGAUGUUAAUUUUUUAAUGACUCAUUCGGCGCCUUACG